Molecule: non-coding RNA, 219 nt
Filed under: Leucoagaricus sp. SymC.cos
Lineage: Eukaryota; Fungi; Basidiomycota; Agaricomycetes; Agaricales; Agaricaceae
Description: Eukaryotic large subunit ribosomal RNA
Rfam family: Eukaryotic large subunit ribosomal RNA
Source: Rfam by way of RNAcentral
AACAGCAGUUGGACAUGGGUCAGUCGAUCCUAAGAGAUAGGGAAGCUCCGUUUCAAAGUGCGCGAUUUUUCGCGCCGCCUAUCGAAAGGGAAUCCGGUUAAAAUUCCGGAACCAGGAUGUGGAUCUUUAACGGCAACGUAACUGAACUUGGAGACGUUGGCAGGAGCCCCGGGAAGAGUUAUCUUUUCUCCUUAACAGUCUACCACCCUGAAAUCAGAU